This 492-nucleotide ribosomal RNA is filed under the name uncultured bacterium. RNAcentral's name for it is "partial 16S ribosomal RNA". It matches the Rfam family "Bacterial small subunit ribosomal RNA", at positions 30 to 507 of the family's 1533-position model. The record is from RNAcentral.
AGUGAACGCUGGCGGUAGGCCUAACACAUGCAAGUCGAACGGCAGCACAGUAAGAGCUUGCUCUUACGGGUGGCGAGUGGCGGACGGGUGAGGAAUACAUCGGAAUCUACUUUUUCGUGGGGGAUAACGUAGGGAAACUUACGCUAAUACCGCAUACGACCUACGGGUGAAAGCAGGGGAUCUUCGGACCUUGCGCGAUUGAAUGAGCCGAUGUCGGAUGAGCUAGUUGGCGGGGUAAAGGCCCACCAAGGCGACGAUCCGUAGCUGGUCUGAGAGGGUGAUCACACACACGGGAACUGAGACGCGGCCCAGACUCCUGGGGGAGGCAACGGUGGGGAAUCUUGGAGGAGGGGCGAGAGCGGAAUCGUGCAAAACGGCGGGGGGAAAGAUGGCGUUCGGGUGGUAAAGUCCUUUUGUUGGAAAGGAAAAAAAGCGGUUUAAUCCCCGGUGGUUAUGACGGUACCAAAAGAAUAAGCCCCGGCUAACUUCGUG